GUGUUGUGUGAAAGGAGAGGUUUGCACUCUCAUUAACAAGGAUAGAAGAGGCCCUGCAGCCUGAAAUGUGAAUGAACUGAAGGCGUUGCCACCCACACGGUUUGUGUCGCGUAACCACUGUUAUUU
Peromyscus maniculatus bairdii (prairie deer mouse) is the source of this 126-nucleotide small nuclear RNA. The record is from Ensembl. NCBI's taxonomy places the organism in Eukaryota, Metazoa, Chordata, Mammalia, Rodentia, Cricetidae.